AGAGUUUGAUCCUGGCUCAGAUUGAACGCUGGCGGCAUGCCUUACACAUGCAAGUCGAACGGCAGCACGAGAGCUUGCUCUUGGUGGCGAGUGGCGAACGGGUGAGUAAUAUAUCGGAACGUACCCUAGAGUGGGGGAUAACGUAGCGAAAGUUACGCUAAUACCGCAUACGAUCUACGGAUGAAAGUGGGGGAUCGCAAGACCUCAUGCUCAUGGAGCGGCCGAUAUCUGAUUAGCUAGUUGGUGGGGUAAAAGCUCACCAAGGCGACGAUCAGUAGCUGGUCUGAGAGGACGACCAGCCACACUGGAACUGAGACACGGUCCAGACUCCUACGGGAGGCAGCAGUGGGGAAUUUUGGACAAUGGGCGCAAGCCUGAUCCAGCAAUGCCGCGUGAGUGAAGAAGGCCUUCGGGUUGUAAAGCUCUUUUGUCAGGGAAGAAACGGUUGACUCUAAUACAGAUCACUAAUGACGGUACCUGAAGAAUAAGCACCGGCUAAUUACGUGCCAGCAGCCGCGGUAAUACGUAGGGUGCAAGCGUUAAUCGGAAUUACUGGGCGUAAAGCGUGCGCAGGCGGUUGUGCAAGACAGAUGUGAAAUCCCCGGGCUCAACCUGGGAAUUGCAUUUGUGACUGCACGGCUAGAGUGUGUCAGAGGGGGGUAGAAUUCCACGUGUAGCAGUGAAAUGCGUAGAGAUGUGGAGGAAUACCGAUGGCGAAGGCAGCCCCCUGGGAUAACACUGACGCUCAUGCACGAAAGCGUGGGGAGCAAACAGGAUUAGAUACCCUGGUAGUCCACGCCCUAAACGAUGUCUACUAGUUGUCGGGUCUUAAUUGACUUGGUAACGCAGCUAACGCGUGAAGUAGACCGCCUGGGGAGUACGGUCGCAAGAUUAAAACUCAAAGGAAUUGACGGGGACCCGCACAAGCGGUGGAUGAUGUGGAUUAAUUCGAUGCAACGCGAAAAACCUUACCUACCCUUGACAUGUCUGGAAUCCUUGAGAGAUCAGGGAGUGCUCGAAAGAGAAUCAGAACACAGGUGCUGCAUGGCUGUCGUCAGCUCGUGUCGUGAGAUGUUGGGUUAAGUCCCGCAACGAGCGCAACCCUUGUCAUUAGUUGCUACGAAAGGGCACUCUAAUGAGACUGCCGGUGACAAACCGGAGGAAGGUGGGGAUGACGUCAAGUCCUUAUGGCCCUUAUGGGUAGGGCUUCACACGUCAUACAAUGGUACAUACAGAGGGCCGCCAACCCGCGAGGGGGAGCUAAUCCCAGAAAGUGUAUCGUAGUCCGGAUUGUAGUCUGCAACUCGACUACAUGAAGUUGGAAUCGCUAGUAAUCGCGGAUCAGCAUGUCGCGGUGAAUACGUUCCCGGGUCUUGUACACACCGCCCGUCACGCCAUGGGAGCGGGUUUCACCAGAAGUGGGUAGCCUAACCGCAAGGAGGGCGCUCACCACGGUGGGAUUCGUGACUGGGGUGAAGUCGUAACAAGGUA
RNAcentral lists this ribosomal RNA (1491 nucleotides) under metagenome. Its description in RNAcentral is "bacterial SSU rRNA". It matches the Rfam family "Bacterial small subunit ribosomal RNA". The record is from RNAcentral.